This is a long non-coding RNA of Coregonus clupeaformis (lake whitefish), 679 nucleotides long. RefSeq lists it as uncharacterized. The record is from RefSeq and is a predicted model, not a curated record. NCBI's taxonomy places the organism in Eukaryota, Metazoa, Chordata, Actinopteri, Salmoniformes, Salmonidae. The transcript is spliced from 3 exons.
CAAAAACCCACGAUCCAGCAGCGGUGGCCUCUGCUGCUCGAGCGGUCUGCCUUGAAGCUCGAUCCGGCCUCGCCGCCUUAUUUUCCAAUGGUCGUUGGUUAACAGUCGAGGCCAGCGGGAGAAGAUACCAAAAACUUCAAAAUAGGUGCUGUCAGGAGAAACACUUUCACAUCCAAGGCUACAGAUGAAGAGACUGAGAAGUUUGUCAUAAGUCAAGCUACAUACUCGCGGCAUGUAGCCAAGCGGCUAAUGAGUUGGACUUGUGGCAGGAGUUGGACCUGUGACCGAAAGUCAGCCGGUUCCAAUCCUAGGCCUGCUGCUGGAAAAAAUGGCAACUGGAGAGCUGCUGGGUUCACAUCCUCAAAAUAUUCCCCCUACUGUUGGGCCGUUGAGCAAGGCCCUUAACCCCACAACAUGCUCUCCAUCCCGGGGUGCUGCACUGCAGCUUGAAGCUGUGCUCGUCUCAACUGUAUGCGUGAGGUCUGCUGUUUGGGGUGGUUGAGAACGGAGCAAAAUAUACACUUUUGUUUUUCGCUGUAACUAAUGGAUAAAGUUGUAUUGUAAAGAAGUCAGCCAGAGUUGAUGUGGGCCAUCAUUCAAUCAAAGAGAUGCUUCCAAGGCCACCAGUGCAUAUUUCCAAACGAUGUUUGUAUAUAAUGACAAUGCAUUCUUAAAACUA